Molecule: small RNA, 1437 nt
Filed under: Histoplasma capsulatum var. duboisii H88
Lineage: Eukaryota; Fungi; Ascomycota; Eurotiomycetes; Onygenales; Ajellomycetaceae
Description: Histoplasma capsulatum H88 hypothetical RNA
Source: RNAcentral
AGCAUUGUCGAUAUUACAUUGAGGGUGAUUGUUGGUCACAUAAUGAUCACCACAUUUGAAGGCAUCUACCCAAGAUAGGGGCAUCGAAAAGCAACAAAUAGACAUUAUAUAAUAAUAGGUAUAUUUAUCCGCACUCACUAUCCCUCUAGCUCGAAGACAGUAAAUGUAUAUCAAGAAAGGUAUCAUUUCCAGGUCACUUGAACACAAGCAAGCAAACCCAUAAUUUUCGCUGCAGGAAAAUCGGGCUUGAUGAAAGAAAACAUAACUUAACCCCCCAAUUUAAAGACGGAGAAUGGGUCGGAAAAUAGAAGCACAAAAGGGAUAUCACGCUGCGUCAAAUGGGAAAUUCAACAAGACUAGGAUCCGAGCUUUAAAGGUAAACUGCGAGAACGCCAGGCACAAGAGCAGUGACUACGAGAAGAGCAGCGUGCCAAUUCCAGGCUGCAUUAGUCCCUGAUGUACUAGGCGGGACGGCUACCAAAUUCCCACCGGAUCCACUGCUGCCUCCGCUGCCUCCGCUGCCGCCGCUACCACCAGAAGGUGGUUCUGGCGGGUCAGUCGCACUGGCUGGAGGACUGAAGGUCGCUGUGGCUGUGUACUCGCCGAAAGAAGACGAAGCAUCCUCCGAGUUUGAGGCGUAGAAGGAAACGACACUUGUAGUAGUUGUGGUUGUGGUUGUCCGGAUUGUGAUCGAUGUGUAAAAUACGACGCGGUAUGUCCUGGUGGAUGUUAGACAAAUCUCUCAUUUGUUUCGCCCACCUCCUCGUCAUGAAGCUCAGAAAGCUAGAGGGAACACAGAUAUGGGAUCGGAAAAUCAGGGCAGAGGAAAGUCAACUUACCAGGUUACUGUCCAGGUAUAGUAGUCGAAACUAGGCCUCGUGGGUGGAGGGUUGGAUGGUGGGGGAGUAGGCCUAGGAGACCCGCCGCCGCCACCACCGCUCCCGCACUCGCCAUGAGGACAGCACUUCGGCACGCCGUUAAUAAGCCAGCACUCAUACCCGGCAUUGCAAUGCCUGCCCGCUGUCCGGCAGCAUUCCUCAUUGUCAUCAAUGCAGCCGUCAUGGCAGCAUUUCCGUCCAGGACCACAAACGAUACCACCGCCGCAGCAGCUCCAGGACAGAGACGGAAUACAAGUGCCAUCGGAGAGGCAACAGUACUGAGUGCAUCGCGCCGGGCAGUCGCGUUUCGUUAGGGAUUUCUGGUUUCCGGUGUCAGCGAGUGUCACAUUGUCAGCCACAUCUCGAGUGCCGAGCAAGACAUCGGAAAAGUCUGAGACCAAUUCGCCGGCCUCCAGCGCGGAGCAAGAGGCUGAGAGUGUGACGAGAGCAAGAGCGGCUACGCGCGACCACGAAGGCAUUGUGUAAACACGACGAUGCGACAGGCGAAAAGGACCGCAAAAGGUAAAUGGAGAAAAUUUGGUGAUAUGAGCUCAGGUCA